UGAGGGAAUAUUUGGGGUCAAUGGACGUAAGUCUGAACCAGCCAAGUAGCGUGCAGGAUGACGGCCCUAUGGGUUGUAAACUGCUUUUAUGCGGGGAUAAAGUUGGGGACGUGUCCCUUUUUGCAGGUACCGCAUGAAUAAGGACCGGCUAAUUCCGUGCCAGCAGCCGCGGUAAUACGGAAGGUCCGGGCGUUAUCCGGAUUUAUUGGGUUUAAAGGGAGCGUAGGCCGGAGAUUAAGCGUGUUGUGAAAUGUAGAUGCUCAACAUCUGCACUGCAGCGCGAACUGGUUCCUUGAGUACGCACAAAGUGGGCGGAAUUCGUGGUGUAGCGGUGAAAUGCUUAGAUAUCACGAAGAACUCCGAUUGCGAAGGCAGCUCACUGGAGCGCAACUGACGCUGAAGCUCGAAAGUGCGGGGUAUCGAACAGGGAUUAGAUACCCUGGGUAGU
RNAcentral lists this ribosomal RNA (448 nucleotides) under uncultured Prevotella sp. RNAcentral describes it as "bacterial SSU rRNA". It matches the Rfam family "Bacterial small subunit ribosomal RNA", at positions 354 to 794 of the family's 1533-position model. The record is from RNAcentral. Lineage: Bacteria; Pseudomonadati; Bacteroidota; Bacteroidia; Bacteroidales; Prevotellaceae.